ACUGUGCGACUGACGGAAGUGGAGCACCACAUGGGAGCACAGUAGGAAAAGCCGACCGUCUGGGCAUC
Molecule: non-coding RNA, 68 nt
Filed under: bovine gut metagenome
Description: ZMP/ZTP riboswitch
Rfam family: ZMP/ZTP riboswitch aptamer (pfl RNA motif)
About the family: Previously known as pfl RNA. ZMP is also known as AICAR.
Source: RNAcentral